UAUCUAGAUAUUGGAUGUUAAUAUUUUCUACAGUGUAAAUCUCAGGUCAUAAAGUUUAAAUGAGGAAGCUUUAGAGAAGAUCUGUACUAGUAAAAUCUUAUGGGUCCCAAGACCAUGUUGCACUCACUUCCACUCGGUAAGGAUUCCCUUGUGCCAUCACAUCCUUUUUUAUUGUAGAUGUGUUUUUCUUAGAUGAUUUUCUUUAU
Molecule: long non-coding RNA, 206 nt
Filed under: Carica papaya (papaya)
Lineage: Eukaryota; Viridiplantae; Streptophyta; Magnoliopsida; Brassicales; Caricaceae
Description: long non-coding RNA (CPAP_LNC015706)
Source: RNAcentral